UUUAAGCAUAUCAAUAAGCGGAGGAAAAGAAACCAACAGGGAUUCCCUUAGUAACGGCGAGCGAAAAGGGAUGAGCCCAGCAUGUAAAUCUCCGGUUUCCGGCGAAUUGUAGUCUGGAGUAGCAACUCCUGGUGCCGUGCCGGCCCAAGCAUCUUGGAAUAGAUCGCCUCAGAGGGUGAGAGCCCCGUAGGUCGGUACGAGCUCCUACACGGAGUGCUCACGCAGAGUCGGGUUGUUUGGGAAUGCAGCCCCAAUUGGGUGGUAAACCCCAUCUAAGGCUAAAUACCUGUGGGAGACCGAUAGCAAAAAAGUACCUCGAGGGAACGAUGAAAAGACCGCUGGCAAGCGAGUGAAAGAGUGCAUGAAAUUGUAUAGUGGGAAGGGAUGGCCUGGCGUAUUGCCCGCGGGUAUACACUGCUCUUCGAGCUCUUGAAUACACCGUGGGCUGGCUGGUGCCGACACCUGCGCUUGCAAAUCCCCAAACUAAGGUGUUUGGCUCUUCAAGCGCGGGUGUUGAGGCUGAUCGUCGCUUUGUUUUAAACUGCGUCGACAUAGCCCCAGCUGAAGCCAGUCCAUCUACCCGUCUUGAAAACACGGAA
Molecule: ribosomal RNA, 599 nt
Filed under: Cladophora sp. HUN1414
Lineage: Eukaryota; Viridiplantae; Chlorophyta; Ulvophyceae; Cladophorales; Cladophoraceae
Description: partial 28S ribosomal RNA
Rfam family: Eukaryotic large subunit ribosomal RNA
Source: RNAcentral